RNAcentral lists this ribosomal RNA (624 nucleotides) under uncultured bacterium. Its description in RNAcentral is "bacterial SSU rRNA". It matches the Rfam family "Bacterial small subunit ribosomal RNA", at positions 122 to 744 of the family's 1533-position model. The record is from RNAcentral.
CAACCUGCCCACCACUUGGGGAUAACCUUGCGAAAGUAAGACUAAUACCCAAUGACGUCUCUAGAAGACAUCUGAAAGGGAUUAAAGAUUUAUCGGUGAUGGAUGGGGAUGCGUCUGAUUAGCUUGUUGGCGGGGUAACGGCCCACCAAGGCGACGAUCAGUAGGGGUUCUGAGAGGAAGGUCCCCCACAUUGGAACUGAGACACGGUCCAAACUCCUACGGGAGGCAGCAGUGAGGAAUAUUGGUCAAUGGACGAGAGUCUGAACCAGCCAAGUAGCGUGCAGGAAGACGGCCCUAUGGGUUGUAAACUGCUUUUAUAAGGGAAUAAAGUGAGUCUCGUGAGACUUUUUGCAUGUACCUUAUGAAUAAGGACCGGCUAAUUCCGUGCCAGCAGCCGCGGUAAUACGGAAGGUCCGGGCGUUAUCCGGAUUUAUUGGGUUUAAAGGGAGCGUAGGCCGGAGAUUAAGCGUGUUGUGAAAUGUAGACGCUCAACGUCUGCACUGCAGCGCGAACUGGUUUCCUUGAGUACGCACAAAGUGGGCGGAAUUCGUGGUGUAGCGGUGAAAUGCUUAGAUAUCACGAAGAACUCCGAUUGCGAAGGCAACUCACUGGAGCGCAACUGAC